GAUCGCUGUGAUGCGGGCGGUUCGCCGCUCGUGACUCUGCGAGAAGUCCAUUGAACCUUAUCAUUUAGAGGAAGGAGAAGUCGUAACAAGGUUUCCGUAGGUGAACCUGCGGAAGGAUCAUUGUCGAGACCGAAAAACAACGAGCGAUUUAGAGAACCUGUUAAAAUAAUCGGUGGCUGUUGUUACCGUGAUAAAUUCCAUCCAAGUCGUUGCCUCAUGUCCUCUUGGGGGCUGGAUGCGAUGAAGGAUGGAUGAACACUCAAACCGGCGCAGCAUCGCGCCAAGUCAAAAUAUUGAAAGACAAGCCCUUAAAAGGGUUUGGUGGCAUCACGUGCUAUUUGCACGCCAUAUGGAUUGGCAUGACUCUCGACAAUGGAUAUCUCGGCUCUCGCAUCGAUGAAGAGCGCAGCGAAAUGCGAUACGUGGUGCGAAUUGCAGAAUCCCGCGAACCAUCGAGUCUUUGAACGCAAGUUGCGCCCGAGGCCAAUCGGCCAAGGGCACGUUCGCCUGGGCGUCAAGCAUUACGUCGCUCCAUGUCAACUCCAUCCCUUCUUUUGAUGGGCUGGUAAAAGGCUUGGACGUGUAAAGUGGCUCGUCGUGCCCCUCGGUGCGGCGGGCUUAAGAGCGGGUCAUCAUCUCGUUGGCUACGAACAAUUACGUGUGGAUUAAAGUGCGGCCUAUCUUAUUGUGUCAUGUAUGCCUGAGAAGAUUAUGCAUUUUUAGGUGAUCCCAAAUCAUGCGUCGAUCCAUGGAUGACGUUUGGAAUGCGACCCCAGGAUGGGCGAGGUCACCCGCUGAGUUUAAGCAUAUCAAUAAGCGGAGGAGAAGAAACUUACGAGGAUUCCCCUA
This 849-nucleotide ribosomal RNA is filed under the name Dendrobium jenkinsii. RNAcentral's name for it is "eukaryotic LSU rRNA". The stretch from base 362 to 517 matches the Rfam family "5.8S ribosomal RNA". Lineage: Eukaryota; Viridiplantae; Streptophyta; Magnoliopsida; Asparagales; Orchidaceae. The record is from RNAcentral.